This 271-nucleotide unclassified non-coding RNA is filed under the name fungal sp. Its description in RNAcentral is "partial internal transcribed spacer region". The stretch from base 1 to 46 matches the Rfam family "Eukaryotic small subunit ribosomal RNA", at positions 1786 to 1831 of the family's 1831-position model. Lineage: Eukaryota; Fungi. The record is from RNAcentral.
AAGUCGUAACAAGGUUUCCGUAGGUGAACCUGCGGAAGGAUCAUUACCGAGUAAGGGCUUCACCAAAGCCUGAUCUCCCAACCCUUGUAUUCUGUACCACUUUGCUUUGGCGGGCCCGUCACUAGUGACCGCUGAAGGAUUUUAGUUAAGUUACUAACUAUAAACCUUGGGCCUGUGUCCGCCAAGGAACCUAAAUACGUGUUAUAAAACCAGUUUGUCUGAGAAUCAAAGAAAAUAACCAAAACUUUCAACAACGGAUCUCUUGGUUCUG